CCGGCAAACGGGUGCGGAACACGUACACAACCUUCCUUAAAGUGGGGGAUAGCCCAGAGAAAUUUGGAUUAAUACCCCGUAACAUUAUGAGAUGGCAUCAUUUUAUAAUUAAAGCUCCGGCGCUUAAAGAUGGGUGUGCGGCUGAUUAGGUAGUUGGUGAGGGUAACGGCCCACCAAGCCUUCGAUCAGUAACUGGUGUGAGAGCACGACCAGUCACACGGGCACUGAGACACGGGCCCG
RNAcentral lists this ribosomal RNA (240 nucleotides) under uncultured bacterium. RNAcentral describes it as "partial 16S ribosomal RNA". It matches the Rfam family "Bacterial small subunit ribosomal RNA", at positions 95 to 334 of the family's 1533-position model. The record is from RNAcentral.